Equus asinus (donkey) is the source of this 5900-nucleotide long non-coding RNA. NCBI's taxonomy places the organism in Eukaryota, Metazoa, Chordata, Mammalia, Perissodactyla, Equidae. The record is from Ensembl.
GCCCGGUGGGCGGGGCCCGGGCAGUUGACGGUUGGUCUGGCCAUGGCCGUGACGUGUGUGGGAGGCCAGCGGGGUCUUGGGGAAGUGGGGUCUGAGGGGUGCGGUUCGCGAGAGAAAGGAGGGAGCGGGCGGGCGAGGGACUGCUCAUGUUAAAGGAAAUUCUUGACUGAGAGGGAGUUGUGAAAGGAAAGGAGAGUCAAGGGUUUCCUGUGACGAAAGAAUUCUUAAUCCUAGAGGGGAGAUCCCUAAGGAAAGGGAACCUUGUGAGAAAGUUCAGGGUCGUCUUUUCGCGUCAUCCCGUCCCCCAACGCAGCUGACUCUGGAUUUCCUUCCCCGGCCGCAGGCCCGGUGCCCGUCCGCCCACCUCCCUCUCUGAGGCUGCCUCUGGUUCCAUUCUUUGGAAACUGUUCUGCAGAAGGCUCAGCUUGCUUCUGUCCAAGAGUCUGCGCGCGCGCACGCACACACACACACACACACCCCCCCAAAAUGUGUUUGCAUAUGAUCAUUGUUUCUGGUCCAUGCAUGAAUUAGAUCACUGGUUUAUUAUAAAAGGAUAUAACUCAUGAACAGCCAAAUGGAAGAGCUACAUAGGGCACGGUAUGGGGAAAGAGUGUGGAGCUUCCAUGACCCUUCCAGAGGCACAUUCUGGAUCAUAAAUUCAAAACAUGGCAAAACACGGCAGUCUCACUGAGUUGAGGAGAUAGAGAUUGGAGUUCAUGGACUCUGGAGGCAGCUGGAAGUUGCUACACGGAAUAGUAAAAUGGAAGAAGUUCUGUGGGCUAUAAGUCUGACAUGACUGUCAUGUUGUAAGGAGACUCAAGAAGACUUAUGGAGAGGUCCAGAUAGUGAGGAACUAAGCCUCCUGUCAACAACGAGCACUAAGUUUCUAGGCUUGCAAGCAAGCCACCUUGGAAGUGGAUCCUCCAGCCUCAGUCAAGCCUUCAGAUGACUGCAGCCCUGGCCAGCCUCUUGACUGCAAGCUCAUAAGAAAUAUUAAGUCAGAAUCACCCAGCUAAGCCACUGCUAGAUUCUUGACCCACAGAAAUUGUGUGAGAUAAGUAUUUACUGUUUGUUUGUUUUUUGUUUUGUUUGUGAGGAAGAUUGGCCCUGAGCUAACAUCCAUGCCAAUCUUUCUCUAUUUUGUACGUGGGAUGCCACCACAGCAUGGCUUGAUGAGAAGUGUGUAGGUCCACACCUGGGAUCCGAACCCAUGAACCCUGGGCCACUGAAGCAGAGCGUGCAAACUUAACCACAACGCCACUGGGCCGGCCCCCAGAAUUGACUUUUUUAUUGUAGUAAAAUAGACAUAACAUAAAAUUUACCAUUUUAACCAUUUUUGAAUGUACAAUUCAGAGGCCUUAAGUAUAUUCACAAUGUUGUAUAACCAUCACCACUAUUUAUUUCCGGAACUUUUUCAUCAUCCCAAACAGAAACUUUGUAAUUAUUUCUCCUUCCUCCCAGACCGUGGUAACUUCUAUUCUUCUUUCUGUCUCUAUGAAUUUUCCUAUGCUAGAUAUUUAAUAUAAAUAGAACCAUACAAUAUUUGUUCUUUUGUAUCUGGCUUAUUUCACUUAGCAUAAUGCUUUCAAGAUUCAUCCAGAUUGUAGCACGUAUAAAAAUUUCACUCCUAGGGGCUGGCUCCGUGGCCGAGUGGUUAAGUUCGCGCGCUCCGCUGUGGCGGCCCAGGGUUCGGAUCCUGGGCACGGACACGGCACCCCUCGUCGGGCCACCUUGAGGCGGCAUUCUGCAUCCCACAACUGGAAGGACCUGCAACUAAGAUAUACAACUAUGUACCGGGGGGGUUUGGGAAAUAAAGCAAAAAAAAAAAAAAAAGAUUGGCAACAGUUCUUAGCCCAGGUGCCAAUCCUUAAAGUCUGAAGUGAACUUUCUUAAAAAAAAAAAAAUUUCAUUCCUUUUUAUGGUUGAAUAAAAUUGUAUCGCAUGUAUAUACCACAUUUGGUUUAUCCAUUCAUCUGUUGAUGGGCACUUGGGUUGUUUCCACCUUUUGGCUAUUGUGAAUAAUGCUGCUAAGAGCGUUAAUGUACAAGUAUGUGUUUCAGUCCCUGCUUUCCAUAUCAUUUAAUAAUGUCUGUGUUUAACAAACAGCUGGCAAAGUUCCUGUAAAUUCAAUAAUCAGCUCUGGUGAGCCUGUGAGAGCCCGUUGGAGCCAGCUCUAGCACAAUGUUGGAGAGCCAUAAUGCACCCAGCUGGGCUCAAACAAGGCCAAUUUGGGUUCAACUCACCAUGCCAGCAUCUUCUACAUUUGCCUAAUAAUGAGAAUUACCUGGGAUAUCCAUUAAAAUAUUGAUUCCCAGGCGCUCAGGAGAUUCUGAUUCUGAAGUUCUGAGGCAAGGUGGUUUUUCUCACUGGGAUUUUUCUCAGUGUGGAAAACCCGAUAUCAGGCCCCAGUACCACCAAAUCUAGGCCUGAAGACAGAGGGGGUACAAAUAUGGUGCCCAGGAAGAGAGGAGGCGUGAGCAAGUGCUUUGGUGAGAACUUGCUGCAAAUUUAGGAGUGGCAUUUUUUUCUCUGCAAAUCCUUCACAGCUCCAAUAUUCAUUGACUAUACACUUCACUCCUGCUCAUCUCCCUGAAUCCCAUCUUAGGAAAGAACGUCUUCCAGAGAGAGCCAAGUGGAAAUCAUUAGGCCCAACAAUUUGACGCGGUUGCAGAAGCUUGCAUAUCAUUAUACUGUUUAGAAACAUGCUCUGAAGCUCUGAGGAUGCCAUUCUUUAGUGUUAUUUUGAUACGCUGACAAGAUAUUUUUAGAGCACAUUAAGUCCAAAUUAAAACAUUGCUACAAAAAAAAGUGAAAUUAAACCAGGGCUCCAUUAAAUGGAAAAUUACAGUAAAUAUCAGAAAGAAGUGAAGGAAAAAGUACCAAACAUUUCUGAGAACUAUUUGGAGAGGAGAGGAGAUGAAGAGAUGCUCCUGAGCAGCAUGUGAGAUGUGCCCGUGUCCUGCUGGGGUGGGAGGGGAAGGCCUCAUGCCUGUAGCCGCUGACCUGACAGGCUCUCACCUUGUAUUAGUGCGAGAGGCGCUUCCUCCCCACUGGUGAGGGCGGGAUGUAGGCUGCUGGCAGCGGACACAGUACUUCAGCUUAAUGGACAUGGUCAAGGAUCACACUGGCCUUCUGCUUAGUCCCUGGUUUCUUGGAUUGGGUCUGAAAUACGGUUAGUUAGGCCUUUAGGCAACACUAUUGCCUUUUUCCUCCAUUCUGUUUCUCUCCAGUUUCGCUGUGUUUUUGGCAUUUCUCACAGUGUCUCUAUUAGAGGGCUUCCAUGAGCUCAGAUUUAAAGACUGAAAAUCUGGAAAAACUAUUUCUGAGAAGAAGGUCCACACCCUUUUUUAGACCUCUUAGAUCAUUGCUUCCUAAUUUCUUUGGGGCUACAGAUGUCUGAUUACCUGAUGAAGGCUAUGGGUCCUCACGUACAGUUUGCGAGUUAGAGUUUCAAAGAGUUUUUUGAGUCCCUGAAGCCCACCAGUGGAUCCCAUGUUGAGAGAAUCUGCCUGGGGCUGCCCCAGUGGUGUAGUGGUUAAGUGUGCAUGCUCCGCUUUGGUGGCCAUCUUUGCUCCCUCAAGUGAAAAGAGGAAGACUGACAACAGAUGUUGCCUUAGGUCGUAAUUCAGACCCUAGUGGCCUUGGAGGUGGGAUGCCUUGGCCUUCAGCUGGGAACUGUCAUGUGCCCAGCAGUCCCAGCACUCCAUCUAUGACAGGAGUUUGACAGGCCCUCCUUUUAUUGGAGUCUUGAUACAAUUCUAAUUAGACAAUUCAGAGUAAGAUCAAGAAGCUUCCUUUGGCAGUGCUAAAAUACUCUUGGGUUUCUUAACAAAGAAUGGGAUAGAGGAGAGUUCUUUUGGGGAAUAAAAAGUCUGAGUCUCUUUAACUCAGACAGAGAGAUGGAAAGAUCUUCAAGUGUACGAGAGGACGUGUAGACAGUAGAUGCUAACAGUCGUUCUCCACGUUCACUGAAUUCAGGGCAUACAAGGAUUUUGUGAUCUCUAUCAUGUGUACUGUCGAGUGGGGAUGAGAUGUGAUGAUUAUGUGUGCAUAAAGUGGAGAGUGGACAAAUUAACACCCCCACUGUCCACCCUCUCCACCCCCACUUGCCUAAAGUACAUGGACAUAGAAAAUUUUUUUUUGGUGAGGAAGAUUGGCCCUGAGCUAACAUCUGUUGCCAAUCGUCCUCUAUUUUGCAUAUGGUACGCUGCCACAGUAUGGCUUGAUGAGUGGUGUUUAGGUCUGUGCACAGAAUCCAAAUCCAUGAACCCUGGGCCGCUGAAGUAGAGCAUAUGAACUUAACCACUACGCGCCUGGGACAGCCCCCUAGAAUUUUUUUAAAUUAAAUAUUGGCGGAAUGAAUCUGUUGAACGAGUUGACUUGCUCUAUAGAGUCAUUUUAUACUGACCAAUUGGAUUUUGAAGAAUGUCUCCCAAAGGCAAUGGAUUUUUGUUUUGUCUUAGUUAACGUUGAGCAUUGAGCCAUUAUUCCUGGCUGCUGCUUGGUCCAAUUGUCUCUUCAGGCUACUCCCUAUUGUUGAUAAUAAAACCAUGAUGAGAAUAGAGCAGGUGUCCAGAGUCUAGGACUUGCUGGAGGCUCUGGGAGGGAAAGAGAGGGGAGCAGUGAUGUGGGGGAGCCGGCAGGGACAGAUUAGCUUUGAGCUUCUGACACUUAUUUCCCCCUUCUGAACUGCAGAUGUUAUUUGGGGUGGGGGAAUGGGUGGGAGACAGAUACACAUAUUCAAUUCCUUGUUUCCUUUUGUGCUGUGUUUUCUUCCAGUCUUGGUCCAUAUUCAUGUUCACUUACCUAAGUAUGAGUUAUAAUGUAAUACUCUUUUGUAAUCUGUUUUUAAAAUAGCAUUAUAUAACAUUUUUAGUGAUAUUUAUUCCUUAUGAGUAGCUUUUAAAAAGAGACACAACUCUCCUGUUCUUUACUCCUUUCUACUGUAAAUGUAAAGUAUAUUCAUUAUUUUUUUAAAUGCAGACAAUAUGCAAAGAAAGUGAAAAAUCACCCUUGAUAUUUUGAAAUGUAUCCGAAACUUUUUUCUAUGCAUAUAUAAAUACAUACUUACAAAAAUGGGAUCAUCGCAUACACGCUUUUCUAGUUCCUGUUUUUCCAUGUCAUUAAAUAGAGUAGCAAUUUAAAAUUUAGUUAGUUUUAUAUAGAUACAGAGUGGUAUUUUAAUAAUUAGUAGUGUUUUAGUAGUAUUUUCAAAAAUUAAUAUUUUAACUUUAAGAGUAGUAUUUUUAAGUAUGGGUGUCCCACAGUUUACCCUUGCCUACUGAUGACACUUCAGUGUUUUCCAAAUUGUCACCAUUGUGACAGUUCUCAUACAUACACCUUUUCUCCUUAGGACUGAUUCCUAGAAGUAGAACUUGCGGUCAAAGAGAAUGCACAGUUAACAUAUUUUGCAUUACGUUGUUUACCAGUUAUCACUCCCAAUAGAAGUGUGUCAAAGAGCCCCUUUCCCCUCCUUCUUGCCAAUAUAAUUACUCUUCUUAACAGCAGCAAAAUAAUCCUGAAGUAACGCUCGGAGAGCAGACCUUCCAGUUUGGAGGCAGAGCCACACUGUCCCCUAGGAACGUCGAGCCGCAAUGUCCCUGUUAUGUGCAGGUAUCGCCGCCAGAUGGCGACCGUGCGCAGGACCCCAGCGCCGGCUCGGUUGGCCGAGGGUGGUCCGACCCGGUGCCCGCGCAGGCAGGGCAGGAAGAGGACCAAACUGGGUGGCGGAAAAGGGACCCAGGGCCCAGAGGACACGAAAGCAAGGGCCGAGACGGAGUUCAGCGUCCCAGGGAAGAAGAUGCCAGCUAAGUGACUAAACGGAGGCGGCAACUGUCUGUCACCGCCGGAACCGCGCCGUGCGCGCUGAUGAAGGACGCGACAGGGCGCCGGGGCCGUGG